AAAAAACCUGUCCAAGAACUUCCAAAAGAACCUAGCCUUGCAUUAUAUUUUCACCAUCCAUUCAUCAUUUGGAGAACCCUAGUAGCAGCAUCAGCCAUCAUUUUGCACAAGAACUUCACUCAUGCAAAAAAAAACCUGUCCAAGAACUUCCAAAAGAACCUAGCCUUGCAUUAUAUUUUCACCAUCCAUUCAUCAUUUGGAGAACCCUAGUAGCAGCAUCAGCCAUCAUUUUGCACAAGAACUU
This 244-nucleotide long non-coding RNA is filed under the name Lathyrus oleraceus (garden pea). RNAcentral's name for it is "Pisum sativum (pea) long non-coding RNA (PSAT_LNC030359)". Lineage: Eukaryota; Viridiplantae; Streptophyta; Magnoliopsida; Fabales; Fabaceae. The record is from RNAcentral.